Molecule: ribosomal RNA, 460 nt
Filed under: uncultured bacterium
Lineage: Bacteria
Description: partial 16S ribosomal RNA
Rfam family: Bacterial small subunit ribosomal RNA
Source: RNAcentral
CCUACGGGGGGCAGCAGUGAGGAAUAUUGGUCAAUGGACGCGAGCCUGAACCAGCCAAGUAGCGUGAAGGAUGACUGCCCUACGGGUUGUAAACUUCUUUUAUAUGGGAAUAAAGUUAGGCACGUGUACCGUUUUGUAUGUACUUUAUGAAUAAGGAUCGGCUAACUCCGUGCCAGCAGCCGCGGUAAUACGGAGGAUCCGAGCGUUAUCCGGAUUUAUUGGGUUUAAAGGGAGCGUAGACGGACGGUUAAGUCAGUUGUGAAAGUUUGCGGCUCAACCGUAAAAUUGCAAUUGAUACUGGCAGUCUUGAGUGCAGCAGAGGUAGGCGGAAUUCGUGGUGUAGCGGUGAAAUGCUUAGAUAUCACGAAGAACUCCGAUUGCGAAGGCAGCUUACUAAACUGCAACUGACAUUGAUGCUCGAAAGUGUGGGUAUCAAACAGGAUUAGAUACCCGAGUAGUC